CCCUUAGUAACGGCGAGCGAAAAGGGAAGAGUCCAGCGCCAAGUCUUGACGCCCAAAACGUCAAGAGAUGCGGCGUUAAUGUAUUAUCGCAUCGUGCAUUGUUGCCUGUUUCAAGUUCCCUUGACAGGGACAUCCAUAGCGGGUGCUAGGCCCAUAGAGGCAAGCAACCAGUGUGCGCAGAUAAUGCAUUCUAGAGUCAGGUUGCUUGAGAGUGCAGCUUAAAGUGGGUGGUAAACUCCAUCUAAGGCUAAAUAUGACAGCGAGACCGAUAGCAAACAAGUACCGUGAGGGAAAGUUGCAAAGCACUUUGAAGAGAGAGUUCAAUAGUACGUGAAACCACUGGGAGGCAAACAGAUGGAACCACGAAGUUGCGCCUCACUCGAUUCAAUCAUUGUUGCCAGUUACCGGUUCUUGUGUGGAUCUUUUCGGAGAUUAGCAAGUGUCGUGGAACUGGUUUCAUUGGUGCAUUUCGUG
Molecule: ribosomal RNA, 474 nt
Filed under: Analges sp. n. 1 MD-2020
Lineage: Eukaryota; Metazoa; Arthropoda; Arachnida; Sarcoptiformes; Analgidae
Description: partial large subunit ribosomal RNA
Rfam family: Eukaryotic large subunit ribosomal RNA
Source: RNAcentral